RNAcentral lists this ribosomal RNA (497 nucleotides) under uncultured bacterium. Its description in RNAcentral is "partial 16S ribosomal RNA". It matches the Rfam family "Bacterial small subunit ribosomal RNA", at positions 28 to 507 of the family's 1533-position model. The record is from RNAcentral.
GACGAACGCUGGCGGCGUGCCUAAUACAUGCAAGUUGAGCGAUGAAGAUUGGUGCUUGCACCAAUUUGAAGAGCAGCGAACGGGUGAGUAACGCGUGGGGAAUCUGCCUUUGAGCGGGGGACAACAUUUUGAAACGAAUGCUAAUACCGCAUAACAACUUUAAACAUAAGUUUUAAGUUUGAAAGAUGCAAUUGCAUCACUCAAAGAUGAUCCCGCGUUGUAUUAGCUAGUUGGUGAGGUAAAGGCUCACCAAGGCGAUGAUACAUAGCCGACCUGAGAGGGUGAUCGGCCACAUUGGGACUGAGACACGGCCCAAACUCCUACGGGAGGCAGCAGUAGGGAAUCUUCGGCAAUGGACGAAAGUCUGACCGAGCAACGCCGCGGGAGUGAAGAAGGUUGUCGGAUCGUAAAACUCUGUUGGUAGAGAAGAACGUUGGUGAGAGUGGAAAGCUCAUCAAGUGACGGUAACUACACAGAAAGGGACGGCUAACUACGUG